AUUGAACGCUAGCGGGAUGCCUUACACAUGCAAGUCGAACGGAGUGGCGAACGGGUGAGUAAUGUAUCGGAACGUGCACAGUAGCGGGGGAUAAAUACGCGAAAGCGUAGAUAAUACCGCAUACUUUUGGAGCGGCCGAUACCGGAGUAGCUAGAUGGUGGGGUAACGGCUUACCAAGGCGACGCUCCGUCGCCGGUUUGAGAGGACGACCAGCCACCCGGGGACUGAGACACGGCCCAGACUCCUACGGGAGGCAGCAUUGGGGAAUGUUGGACAAUGGGGGAAACCCUGAUCCCGCCAUCCCGCGUGUGCGAUGAAGGCCUUCGGGUUGUAAAACACUUUUGGCAGGAAAGCGGUACCUGCAGAAUAAGCACCGGCUAACUACGUGCCAGCAGCCGCGGUAAUAC
RNAcentral lists this ribosomal RNA (407 nucleotides) under uncultured bacterium. RNAcentral's name for it is "partial 16S ribosomal RNA". It matches the Rfam family "Bacterial small subunit ribosomal RNA", at positions 30 to 526 of the family's 1533-position model. The record is from RNAcentral.